AUUGAACGCUGGCGGCAUGCCUUACACAUGCAAGUCGAACGGCAGCACGGGUGCUUGCACCUGGUGGCGAGUGGCGAACGGGUGAGUAAUACAUCGGAACGUACCUUAUCGUGGGGGAUAACGCGGCGAAAGUUGCGCUAAUACCGCAUACGCCCUGAGGGGGAAAGCGGGGGACCGUAAGGCCUCGCGCGAUUAGAGCGGCCGAUGUCUGAUUAGCUGGUUGGUGAGGUAAAAGCUCACCAAGGCGAUGGUCAGUAGCUGGUCUGAGAGGACGAUCAGCCACACUGGGACUGAGACACGGCCCAGACUCCUACGGGAGGCAGCAGUGGGGAAUUUUGGACAAUGGGGGCAACCCUGAUCCAGCAAUGCCGCGUGAGUGAAGAAGGCCUUCGGGUUGUAAAGCUCUUUUGUCAGGGAAGAAACACCGGCUCUAACACAGUCCGGGAAUGACGGUACCUGAAGAAUAAGCACCGGCUAACUACGUGCCAGCAGCCGCAGUAA
This 501-nucleotide ribosomal RNA is filed under the name uncultured bacterium. RNAcentral's name for it is "partial 16S ribosomal RNA". It matches the Rfam family "Bacterial small subunit ribosomal RNA", at positions 29 to 523 of the family's 1533-position model. The record is from RNAcentral.